Molecule: long non-coding RNA, 1328 nt
Organism: Lemur catta (Ring-tailed lemur)
Lineage: Eukaryota; Metazoa; Chordata; Mammalia; Primates; Lemuridae
Exons: 3
Source: RefSeq, a predicted model, not a curated record
CCUCGACUCAUGCUUCAAGAGCAGUUUCACAAUAACGGGGAAAAGUCAAGAAUGCCAGAGAAACGGGUGCCGGUCAGGCAAGGGAGUCAUCCCAGGGCUUACAGAACGCUCUUCAUUUUCCAAAGCGUGUCCCCAAGCUGCAUCUCAUCCCACCGAAGGACAUCAGGACACAGGCCACGCUAGGAUUCAGACAGGGACCUGGCAGAAAUGGGAAGAGGCUGUCUAAAGCACCUGGUCCUUCUCUCUCUCCUCUGGACCAUCACGAGCCGGAAGGACAGCAUCACACGGACCCCCGGAAGGAGAUGCCACUGAAGAGGGUUGUGCGACCCCAGACAUCCUUCCAAGCACAGACCACGCACAGGGUACCCAGUUUCCUUCUGGCGGCUCGAUUUUUUUUCUUUGUUUUUAUGAAAAUGAAAUGAAAAUUUAAAUUACACACCGGGCUCACAUUAUAUUUUGAUUGCAGAGUGGCAACACAGCGUAUUUAUUAAAAUCAACAUCUCAGAAGCACCCCAGGAAUCUGCAUGGUUAACAAGCAGCCAGGUGACUGAGCUCACUGUCAUUUGGGGACACCCUUUGAAGAAGCAGACAGUGACCCGAUCCAUGAGUCAGAACACCAAGAUUCUACACUUUGCUCAGCUCCUCUUCCUACCUGGGCAUCAGUCGCCUCAUCCACAGAAUGAAGGGCUUGGAUUGGACCUGGAAAGACGUUUGAUUUAAUGCAUCCAAUGCCAUGGAUUACACACUGAUUGCAUGUCUAUCAACCCAUGGACCAGCAGAGACCCCCAGACACUGAGUGGACCCACAUGGAAAACAGAUUCAGGCCAGUGUGACCUUAGGAAGGCAUUCCCGGUCCCAGGUACUACAGAGGACUCUGAAAGGACAGGUCACCUGGGGGAGUCCCAGGGGAUGGCAGCUGACUCCCGCUAAACCAGACAGAACCUACCUAUGUCAACAUCACCAUCUCUGCCACCAACUGACCAAGGACCUGCUGCAUGUAAAGCACAGCCCCUCGGCAGGUCCAAGAGCAAACUCACACCCUCAGGCUGCCCUGAAAGUGUCCAAGAUUCCAUGGACCAACCAGUGGCAGAACCCAGCCCACCCCAGGGCAGGUCACUUGAUCCAACCCACCCACCCAUUCAGCCAGAAGAAUUUCUUUUCAAAUAGAGAGGGGGGAAACCAAUCUUUUUUUUUUUUUUUUACUUUAUAGAACUAUCAAUUUCACCUAAGAGGGCGCUAACAAAAGUUACCAAUCCAGUCUUUUUUUUUUUUUAUUUCAGCAUAUUUUGGGGGUACAAAUGUUUAGGUUACAUAUUUUGUCUUUGUCC